Oncorhynchus tshawytscha (Chinook salmon) is the source of this 1930-nucleotide long non-coding RNA. NCBI's taxonomy places the organism in Eukaryota, Metazoa, Chordata, Actinopteri, Salmoniformes, Salmonidae. The record is from Ensembl.
CAUAACGGCAUCAUUGUACCUGUCCCAAAAUGGCAUCAUAGUAUCUGUCCCAUUAUGGCAUCACUGUAUCUGUCCCACAAUGGUUUCAUAUUAACUGUCCCAUAAUGGCGUAAUUUUAUCUGUCCCAUAAUGGCAUCUUGUAUCUGUCCCAUAAUGGUGUCAUAUUUUCUGUCCCAUAAUGGCAUCAUUUCAUCUGUCCCAUAACGGCAUCAUUGUAUCUGUCCCAUAACGGCAUCAUUGUAUCUGUCCCAUAAUGGCAUCAUGGUAUCUCUCCCAUAACGGCAUCAUUGUAUCUGUCCCAUGAUGGCAUCAUUGCAUCUGUCCCAUAACAUCAUAUUAUAUGUCCCAUAAUGGCAUCAUUGUAUCUGUCCCAUAACAGCAUCAUUGUAUAGAUAGACAUUGUAUCUGUCCCAUAAUGGCAUCAUUGUAUCUGUCCCAUAACGGCAUCAUUGUAUCUGUCCCAUAACGGCAUCAUUGUAUCUGUCCCAUAACGGCAUCAUUGUAUCUGUCCCAUAAUGGCAUCAUUGUAUCUGUCCCAUAACGGCAUCAUUGUAUCUGUCCCAUAACGGCAUCAUUGUAUCUGUCCCAUAACAGCAUCAUUGUAUAGAUAGACAUGGCAUCAUUGUAUCUAUAGACAUGGCAUCACUGUAUCUGUCCCAUAACGGCAUCAUUUCAUCUGUCCCAUAACGGCAUCACUGUAUCUGUCCCAUAACGGCAUCAUUGUAUCUGCCCCAUAACGGCAUCUUUGUAUCCGUCCCAUUACAUCAUAUUAUAUGUCCCAUAAUGGCAUCAUUUUAUCUGUCCCAUAAUGGCAUCAUUGUAUCUGUCCCAUAAUGGCAUCACUGUAUCUGUCCCAUAAUGGCAUCUUUGUAUAUGUCCCAUAAUGGCAUCACUGUAUCUGUCCCAUAAUGGCAUCAUUGUAUCUGUCCCAUAACAUCAUAUUAUAUGUCCCAUAAUGGCAUCAUUCCAUCUGUCCCAUAACAGCAUCAUUUCAUCUGUCCCAUAAUGGCAUCAUUUUAUCUGUCCCAUAAUGGCAUCAUUGUAUCUGUCCCAUAAUGGCAUCAUUGUAUCUGUCCCAUAACGGCAUCAUUGUAUCUGUCCCAUAAUGGCAUCAUUGUAUCUGUCCCAUAAUGGCAUCAUUGUAUCUGUCCCAUAACGGCAUCAUUGUAUCUGUCCCAUAAUGGCAUCAUUGUAUCUGUCCCAUAACUGCAUCAUUGUAUCUGUCCCAUAAUGGCAUCAUUGUAUCUGUCCCAUAAUGGCAUCAUUGUAUCUGUCCCAUAAUGGCAUCAUUGUAUCUGUCCCAUAACGGCAUCAUUGUAUCUGUCCUAUAACGGCAUCAUUGUAUCUGUCCCAUAACGGCAUCAUUGUAUCUAUAGACAUGGCAUCAUUUUAUCUGUCCCAUAACGACAUCAUUGUAUCUGUCCCAUAACAGCAUCAUUGUAUUUGUCCCAUAACAGCAUCAUUUUAUCCAUCCCACAAGGGCAUCAUUGUAUCUGUCCCAUAAUGGCGACGCUAUUAAUAAUGGCAACCCCAUUGAGGGCAUCUCAAUUUUGAAGUAGUCCAUUUUCUUCUACAACUUCUUCAAUGAGUUGGUAAACAAACUGAAAGGGAGCACACUGCCCCCCGCAGGAUGUUGUCUGAACAGGUAUAAAGCCAAGGAUGCUGAUUUAAUGCCACCUGCAAUUAUGGGAUGUUUGCUCACACAUAUAAUGAAUUGGCUGAUCCCUGCUGAUGACCCAGAUGGAAUCAUUCCUUAACCCAUAGGAAGUCUCACCCAGCUGACUACUUCCAAAUGGUGAAAGUCCUCAGUGGCGCUGCACAUCCUAAAACAGUUUUAUGGGCACUAGAGUCCUCUAUCUAACUCUAUGGUUGGGAAACACCACUUACCUCCUUGUGUAUUCUCAAUAGUGUAGCCUUAGGGGUGUGUUCA